UACGGGGGGGGCAAGCGUUGUUCGGAAUUACUGGGCGUAAAGGGCUCGUAGGCGGCCAACUAAGUCAGACGUGAAAUCCCUCUGCUUAACCGGGGAACUGCAUCUGAUACUGGAUGGCUUGAGUUCGGGAGAGGGAUGCGGAAUUCCAGGUGUAGCGGUGAAAUGCGUAGAUAUCUGGAGGAACACCGUUGGCGAAGGCGGCAUCCUGGACCGACACUGACGCUGAGGAGCGAAAGCC
RNAcentral lists this ribosomal RNA (238 nucleotides) under uncultured bacterium. RNAcentral's name for it is "partial 16S ribosomal RNA". It matches the Rfam family "Bacterial small subunit ribosomal RNA", at positions 524 to 761 of the family's 1533-position model. The record is from RNAcentral.